CAGCCGCCGCGGUAACACGUAGGUGGCAAGCGUUGUCCGGAAUUAUUGGGCGUAAAGGGCUCGCAGGCGGUUUCUUAAGUCUGAUGUGAAAGCCCCCGGCUCAACCGGGGAGGGUCAUUGGAAACUGGGAAACUUGAGUGCAGAAGAGGAGAGUGGAAUUCCACGUGUAGCGGUGAAAUGCGUAGAGAUGUGGAGGAACACCAGUGGCGAAGGCGACUCUCUGGUCUGUAACUGACGCUGAGGAGCGAAAGCGUGGGGAGCGAACAGGAUUAGAUACCCCAGUAGUCCCUGUCUCUUAUAA
This 301-nucleotide ribosomal RNA is filed under the name uncultured bacterium. RNAcentral's name for it is "partial 16S ribosomal RNA". It matches the Rfam family "Bacterial small subunit ribosomal RNA", at positions 509 to 809 of the family's 1533-position model. The record is from RNAcentral.